UGGCACAUAGCUGCCAUUGAAAUGGUUGUGCACCGUCAUAGGGUGUCGGGGGUCGGAGGUUCAAAUCCUCUCGUGCCGACCA
RNAcentral lists this transfer RNA (82 nucleotides) under Citrobacter braakii. RNAcentral's name for it is "tRNA-Pro". The record is from RNAcentral. Lineage: Bacteria; Pseudomonadati; Pseudomonadota; Gammaproteobacteria; Enterobacterales; Enterobacteriaceae.